This 664-nucleotide ribosomal RNA is filed under the name uncultured Gammaproteobacteria bacterium. Its description in RNAcentral is "bacterial SSU rRNA". It matches the Rfam family "Bacterial small subunit ribosomal RNA", at positions 96 to 793 of the family's 1533-position model. The record is from RNAcentral. Lineage: Bacteria; Pseudomonadati; Pseudomonadota; Gammaproteobacteria.
UGGCGGACGGGUGAGUAACGCGUGGGAAUCUACCCAGUAGUGGGGGACAACUACCGGAAACGGUAGCUAAUACCGCAUACGCCCUAUGGGGGAAAGGCUUCGGCCGCUAUUGGAUGAGCCCGCGUCAGAUUAGCUAGUUGGUAGGGUAAAGGCCUACCAAGGCAACGAUCUGUAGCUGGUCUGAGAGGACGAACAGCCACACCGGGACUGAGACACGGCCCAGACUCCUACGGGAGGCAGCAGUGGGGAAUAUUGGACAAUGGGCGAAAGCCUGAUCCAGCAAUGCCGCGUGUGUGAAGAAGGCCUGCGGGUUGUAAAGCACUUUCAGUUGGGAAGAUGAUGACGUUACCAACAGAAGAAGCACCGGCUAAAUCCGUGCCAGCAGCCGCGGUAAUACGGAUGGUGCGAGCGUUAAUCGGAAUUACUGGGCGUAAAGCGCGCGUAGGCGGCUAAGUCAGUCAGAAGUGAAAGCCCCGGGCUCAACCUGGGAAUUGCUUUUGAUACUGCUUAGCUAGAGUUUGGUAGAGGAUAGUGGAAUUCCAGGUGUAGCGGUGAAAUGCGUAGAUAUCUGGAGGAACAUCAGUGGCGAAGGCGACUGUCUGGACCAAAACUGACGCUGAGGUGCGAAAGCGUGGGUAGCAAACAGGAUUAGAUACCCUGGUAG